Molecule: long non-coding RNA, 572 nt
Organism: Astatotilapia calliptera (eastern happy)
Lineage: Eukaryota; Metazoa; Chordata; Actinopteri; Cichliformes; Cichlidae
Source: Ensembl
ACUAGAAGCUGCUGUCGCUCACGGUGAAAGAAUUUCGUCAAUACGACUUUUACUUUUCAUUUGGGAACGAUUUGUUUCGGCCUGACUUUUCUGUUCAUUUUAAGCAGCAAAAGUGAGGUGCAUGUCUGUGUGCGUGUGUAUGGAGCCAUUGGGUGCGGUCACUAUAGCAACCAGGCUCACACCUGCCUGCUUAACGAGCUCUGCCUGCCACUGUACCAAGAUUCAUCUUAAACACUUCUCUUUCAACUGCUGCUGUGUCCACAGUGUUACAGCCAUCAUUUUACCCUCAAAACGUCGCCAUCGUUGUUCUCUUUCCAACAUCUUGUCUUUCAAAGCUCAGGCAUUUAAACUUUUUAAACUGUGUGGAUCAAAGUGGAGGGAUCACAUUUUAGUCAUUCAGUGAUUCAAAGAAUAUGACCUUUUAAUAUUCAUUCAGAUGUUUUCUGACUCUAAAUGUUCUUUUCUCAUUUCUUAGGGUUUUCUAAUUUACAAUUAAAACAUUUUCAGCUUUUUUCCAACUUCUUCUUCUGUGUAACCUUCAGCUUUUAGCAGUUCAGCACCUUUGUUUUCAG